Setaria italica (foxtail millet) is the source of this 2783-nucleotide long non-coding RNA. RefSeq lists it as uncharacterized. The record is from RefSeq and is a predicted model, not a curated record. NCBI's taxonomy places the organism in Eukaryota, Viridiplantae, Streptophyta, Magnoliopsida, Poales, Poaceae. The transcript is spliced from 8 exons.
UCGCCGCACUUCUGGCCCAUUAAUCUUGCGCACAAGACUUGGCCCAUACCGAACCCUAGCUUCACUCCCAUUCACCCGCCGUCCUCCAGCACAUCUGGUUUGGCUCCCCUCUUCCCGUCCCGCUACCUCUCGCCGCCCCUCCACGUGCCGCCCCUCGCAGGUCCUCCACCCGCCGCCCCUCCACGCGCCGCCCCUCGCUGGAGCUCCACCCAUCACCCCUCCACGCGAGGGCCGGCCUUUGGCGGCGGGGCGGCGCACGCGGAUCCAGCACGCGAGAUGCGAGAUCCGGCGCGGCUCCUCCUCUCCCCUCGGCUGCGCUCCUACGAGUAUCAAGGCGAGGAUCCGCUCCAACCGUGGCUGGACUGCAUCAAGUGGGUUCAAGAGUCGUUCCCGACUGAUGGCGAGUGCUCAGAGCUGGUGGUGUUGUACGAGCAGUGCGUGCAGACCUUCUGGCACGACGAGCGCUACAAGGAUGACCUCCGCUUCCUCGAAGUGUGGCUGGAAUACGCUGGAAAUUGCACUGAUGCUGAGGUGAUAUACAAAUUCCUGGAGGCAAACCAGAUUGGGCAGGGCCAUGCCAUUUACUACAUGUCCUAUGUGUCAUUGUUGGAGGCAAAGAACAAGCUGAGGAAAGCUAAUGAGAUCUUUGACCUUGGUAUAGCUAGGUGGGAUUUCCAUGAGACUGUCACUUGUUGUUCAUAAGGCUCUUGGAUUUGAGAUUGCCCAGUAGAUUGUGUUGCUAUAAUCUAUAGAUAUUCAAUACAGAACUAGAUACUGAGAGGUACCAAAAAUCUAGUUAUGGGGGACUAGAUACUGCAGUACAGAACAAGGAGAAUGAGGAAAGAGUGAUUGGCAAUAAACAUGGAGAUGGCGAUGCAGGAUAUGUAUGAUUAAUAUACAUCAAAGUGCUACAACUGGGAAAUUGGACCUAAGAAAUGCUUAGCAGAAAAUACAAAAGACAUACCAAGGAUUCGUGGAGGCUGGGCCAUACAGGAUGUUUUUUAUGUGAGUACUGGGUGGUGCCUUUGUGAUUGUAUUGUGCAAGUUACUAGUACCUUUACUGCAGCAGGUGCUUGUGCCUAAUUUGUGCUAUGCUCUGUUCGAUUAGUGCUCUGUUCGAUUAGUGCUCUGUUCUAUGCUACCCCUACUGCAGCUGCUGGAAUAAUGGUAUGAUUCUGUGUUCUCUGAUCCUUGGAUAUACUGUGUGCUGCUGCUAGUAAUGCUAAGAAAUUACCAAGUGACUUAUUGCAUGCCAACUUUGAGUUUCAGGAACUUCAAAGAGGUGCUAGGCAGGAUCUUGUCAACAAGUGGAUCAAAUUGCUGAUCCAGUUAUUGAUUUGUUCUGAACUACCUGCAUGCCUUUAUCAUUUUGGAGGCAAACAAUCCAUAUAUGUCUACCUGCAGUAUAAUUAGGACAUGUAGAAUUUGAUGUUAUAUAUGAGCCUAGCUCCGAAUGUUAGCUACACUAUUGUUAUGACGUAUGAACCUACAUGAAUGAAUGAAAGUUUGUCUUUGUUAACGUGCUACUUUGUGAUGAAUGUCUGGAGCUAUCCUACCAAUAUACUGACUGGCUUACAAGAUUGAUUUUGAUCAAUGUCGUGUUUAAUAAAAUUUAUUCAGAUGCAUCUUUUCAUUCUAAUCUCUUUUCUAUGGCCAAACUAAUUCAAAAGCUUAUGGUGGGGUUAACUAGAUAUUAUGGUUCUUAGACCAAUCUGCAUGUUCCGUAAAAAAAUUAGGUUUCUACUCAGUAUAGAUAAUCAUAUAGGAUGAUAAGCAUGUUGCAAUGCAGAUGUAUUCAUAUUAUUCAAUUAUCUGGUGUCCACUUUGCUCAAGCUUUCUAUUGAAUUUUCUAACUAUCUGUUGUGGAAAUAUUGUAAAUAUUAAGGCAUAACAAAAUUGUCCAACAUUAUCAGGAAACUGUGUCCUACUGAAUAUUGUCCUUACACUGUACUUUGCAAUAGUUAUAAGUAUGUAUGACUACCAAUUUGUGCUUUGCAGUAAUUUUAGCUAUAUUUUCCCUCUGCAAUUAUCUCUUAUACGAACAAGCUUUUCAACUAGGACCAUAGGAAUCAGAGAUAAAGAUUCCAAGCUGGUUAUAUAACCCUUAAAUAUUUUAGUUAUCCAUGUCAAGUCUCUAAAUCUUUUUUCGCUUCUUUGCAUAUUGAUGUCAUGUGUUGUUGAUGCUAUGUUGAUGUCUUUAAUUGCAGUUCUAGGUGCUGAUUUAUUAGCUGCAUACUCAUCAGGUGCAGGGAGCUUCUCUUGCUUCCAUCCUAAAGAUGUUUGACAAAAUGCCACAGUUAACUAGCUCUGCCUCUACAACAAGGAUGCAGAAGGAUGAUCAUCCAUUUCCUGGUUUUUUUUACCUUGGUGCCUCCCUCCAACCGUGCCACCCUCUCCGUCUGCGUCUCCUUGACAGUGGCAGGCCAUGGGACAAGGAGGAAGUGGUGGCCACUGCAGCUCAACGAUGUGGAAAACAGGAGUACUUAUCUUUAAUUCCCUUGCAUUUUUGCUAACAGGAAAGCGUGGACAGCCAAAAUAUUUAGAGAAAGCUUUAAGCCUAUAUGCUGGUGAUGGACUGCUAGAAGAAUGAAAAAUUACAGAAAGGUUUAUUGGUGAUUGCUGGUGCCAAUAGGGAAUGAAUAGAUCAAUAAGAGAACUCAUAUUUAACAUAGUUGCACUUGUAGUUAGAGAUGAUAUUUUUAUUGUCAUUGUGUUAUUAAUUUGGUUGAGACAUAUAUUUGAAGUUAAUGAAGGUUUGAGUUCCUAUAUGUGAUGAUGAAAUA